This 330-nucleotide ribosomal RNA is filed under the name uncultured eukaryote. RNAcentral describes it as "partial 18S ribosomal RNA". It matches the Rfam family "Eukaryotic small subunit ribosomal RNA", at positions 1470 to 1796 of the family's 1831-position model. The record is from RNAcentral.
CCCUUAGAUGUCCGGGGCCGCACGCGCGCUACACUGAAGGAAUCAGCACGUCUUUCUCCUUGUCCGAAAGGACUGGGUAACCCGCUGAACCUCCUUCGUGCUAGGGAUUGGGGCUUGUAAUUCUUCCCCAUGAACGAGGAAUUCCCAGUAAGCGCGAGUCAUAAGCUCGCGUUGAUUACGUCCCUGCCCUUUGUACACACCGCCCGUCGCUACUACCGAUUGGAUGGUUUAGUGAGAUCCUCGGAUUGGUCCCGGAGCGGCCUCUGGUCGUGCCGGAGUGCCGAAAAGAAUGUCGAACUUGAUCAUCUAGAGGAAGUAAAAGUCGUAACA